AUGAUUCGGUAUUUGAAUCUCUCGGGCACUGGUAUUGCAAUGUUGCCUUCAUCAGUUGGUAGGCUCUUCAGCUUGCAAAUACUUAAGUUGAAAAACUGCCAUGAAUCAGGUUGCCUCCCACAAAGCAUAACCAGUCUUGUAAAUCUUCAAUGGCUAGAAGCAAGAACAGAGUUGGUCACAGACAUAUCCAGAAUAGGCAACUUAACUUGUCUUAAACAGUUGGAUGAAUGUGUGGUCUGUACGGACAAGGGAUACAAGAUCAGUGAACUGAAGACAAUGAAGGGGAUCCGAGUAAAUUUAGACAAAGAGAUACUUGAAGUUCUUCAACGACAUCAUGAACUGAAGGAGCUAACUGUCAAGGCAUUCGGCUCCUCCUCUCCAAAUUGGUUUAGUAGUCUUGCCCACUUGCACACCAUCCACUUGUCUGAUUGCACGAAAUGCUCAAUUCUACCAGCGCUAGGAGAGCUGCCUCAAUGGGCCUCUGUAACUGAUGAUGAAUUUCUUCUGUCCCUCAAAGAACUCGCAGUUAUGGACUGCCCGCAAUUGAAGGAUUCAGAUCCCUCAUUGCCCUUGAGAGUCUUCACAUCUAUGAUUUUCCAAGGCUGGCACCAUCAGGACAUCAUAGCUUGCUGCCCUCCAAGCUUUGAAGACUUGCGCAUCAGUUCUUGUUCCGACCUUAUUAACCCUCUUCUUCGGGAGCUUAAUGAGCUCUGUUCGCUGACACAUCUCACAAUCACCAAUUGUGCUAACCUUCAUUCUUUUCCAGUAAAGCUCCCUGUCACUCUGCAAAAAUUGGAGAUCCUCAACUGCAGUAAUCUGAUCUACUUGUCUGGUGGUCUCGAAGAUGCACCGUGUCUAUCAGCUAUAACCAUCUUGAAAUGUCCUCUCAUGCUAUGCUUACCAAGGCGCUCUACAAAAUCGUUGAAAGAACUGUAUCAAAGGAUGCCCAUAUCUAACAGAGAGCUGCCAAGAAAACAGUGGAAGAGAUUGGCAUAA
RNAcentral lists this ribosomal RNA (996 nucleotides) under Triticum aestivum (bread wheat). RNAcentral describes it as "partial small subunit ribosomal RNA". Lineage: Eukaryota; Viridiplantae; Streptophyta; Magnoliopsida; Poales; Poaceae. The record is from RNAcentral.